UUUUUUUUUUUUUUUCGCUUUUCUUAGGGCUGCACCCACGGAAUAUGGAGCGGCCCAAGAAAUGGCAAAAAGACCAAAAAAAAAGACUGUCACUGAUACAAAAAGCAAGUAUACAUAUAUAUAUUAAAAAAGACCAUGUUUAUCACAAAUUUUAUUUUCAAUUAAUUGCAAAUACCAGUGUGUCUCUAUUUAGAAGUAGAACAUAAGAAGUUAAAGAAUAAUUUAUAUUUUAUGAGCUUUCAGGAAACUUUAGAUUGUUUUCACUUCUCCCUGCUUUCGGCCGAUUAAACUGAAUUAUAUCUAGACCUAGUUAAGAAAGUGCAAUCAUUAUGUCAAGCAAUCCUUUGUGUUUCAGUUAGAAAUCACAAAAACAGCAUCUUUGAUAGGGAAGGGGAAAUAAGAGCAAUUUAGGUGCCCAUAAAAGUGAUUCCUAAAUUUGAAUUAGUUUAGAAAAAAUCCCACCAAACAGCUGCUUGGUUAAUGGCUAGUAAAAAACUGUGGGAGCUAUGUCAGCGAUCCCCAAAUUGCAGCUAAACUAAUUGCUGGGGAGGUCGCUCUGAAGACAGAUAAAAUAUAUCAGUUAAAUUUUAUGGAAAGUUACAAACGGUUCAGGAGGCCUGAAUUGCUUCUCCUUAAAUCAACACAAGGCAGUCUAGACAAUUGAAGCCCCUUGCCCCUCUCUCUGUUCUGUUCACCCACUGCCCAUGAUUGCACUGCCUGGCCCUUUGCUCACUUAUCCUUCCACAAAAAUGUACUGCUCAACAACAGGCACUGCCAGAAAUGUGACUUCAGAGCCUAUUCCACUGUCACUCACACCUGCUGGGUGCGGGUUAGAGGGUAGAAGAGGCCAUUUGGUCUCCAAGUUGACCCACGCAUGAAUUACUCUUCUAUUCUAAAUUCUCUGGCAUUCCAAAGGUAGGGGGUGUGCUGGGCAUUGGCUGUUUAUAUCUCUCUCUAUAAUCCUUAGUAGCAAAAGCACACAUACACUAGAAAAACAAAUUUAAAAUAUAAACUAUUUCUACUAUCAUCUAAGAAAUACAGAUUUAUGUACAUUAGUUAAUAAGAAAUAUGUUUGUUGUAAUUUUCACAGGCCUUUAUAUUAGUACCUGUAGGUGGGGAUACUCAAAUGAUUAAAUUCAUGAGCUAUAACUAGCUGAAUCUCUCUUGAUUCUUAUUGCAUCUCAUGGAAUCAGUCAAAGCUUGUUGUUAGAAGAUGCCUUCUCAGGAUUUAAUUCUAAACUUCUUAGAGUUUAGGAUGGAUUGUCUCUCUUUUUAAAAGGUACUUGUGUCUCCUUCUUGAAGGAAGGGGAUGGGCAGUAAAUAUUGUUAGGUGUAUGCUUUUACCUAAGCAGACAAGACAGAGAUGAUGGCCUCAUGAAAAAGUACAAGUAGCAUUAAGAGGGGUAAAACUAGUAUCAGCAUUGAAAUCCCUUGUCUCUAACACUCCUUUCUCAAAGAAUGAUUUUGUAAUAACAUCAAAAUGAAAUGGAAUUUAUGUAAGACUCAUGCGCAGUGUCUGACACCAGGAGGAACCCAGUAAGUAUGUUUCCUAAUCUUUUACGGAUCCCUUCCCACCCAUCCAACCAUGUACCUUUGUGUGGGUGUCCCCCCCCCCCGCCCCCCACCAACUUGACCAAGAAUGUAGCCCUGGCUCAUUCAAGGUGUGCUGACCGCCAUUCUGCGUUUUAUCAAAUUAUCCUCUCCAACCUCCAUCUUAUUUUGUCCACUCUGCUUGAUUUUGAAAUUCCCUGGAGGGACAAACAGGGAGGCUACCUUGUGCUUUUCUAAUAGGCUAUUAGGUUAAAAAAGGGAGAAAGGCAUUAUCCUUUUCUGUGAUACAAAAUAAACAAAUACUGUUAAGUGUAGUAAUUACUGUUUUCCCAAAUCACAACAUGCAGUCAAGUGCUUAGAAAAGGCACAGGCAUGAAUUACACAGUGCUUUCUUCCCAGCCUGACCUGCCGCAGAAUCAAAGUAAGAGAGGCCACCCAGCCCUAGCAAACUGCAGCUACACCUACCUCUCAGAGCCCAGCUAUAGAAAAAUUGCUUGGUGUUAGUGAUGGGUUGCCAGAUUCAGCAAAUAAAAAUACAGAACUUCCAAUUAAAUUUAAAUAUCAGGGAAUUCCCAUCAUGGCUCAGUAGUAAUGAACCCGACUAGUAUCCAUGGGAACCCUGGCUUCGAUCUGUGGGUUAAGGACCUGGUGUUGCCGUGAGCUGUGGUGUAGGUCGUAGACAUGGCUCUGAUCCCCAGGUUGCUGUGGCUGUGGUUUAGACUGGCAGCUGCCACCAAUUCGACCCCUAGCCUGGAGACUUCCAUAUGCCACAAGUGCUGCCCUAAAAAGCAGGAAAAAAAAAACGAAUUUCAGAUAGCAGGUUUUUUAAUAUAGCUAUGUCAUCAGUACUGUAUGGGACAUACUAUACUAAAAUGAUGUGUCAUUUAUCUGAAAUUUAAAUAUGACUGGACAUCUUGUAUUUCAUCUGCUCAACUGAGUUACUGAAUAUGUAAGAACUAGAUUACUAGGUUCACCCUUAAUGAUCUUUUUAGAGCUCUGGUCUAAAUCACCUAAAAAAGUUUUUUUUUUUUUUAAGUUAAUAAUUUAUAUGCAGGUGGCUCUCAUCCUUAGAGUACACAGGAAUCAUCUGCAAUACCUUUCAAAGCACAGUUUGCUGGCAUUGCCCUUGUGGCUCAGCAGAUUAAAAACCUGACUAGUAUCUGUGAGGAAGUGGGUUAGAUCCCUGGCCUCACUCGGUAGGUUAAAGGAUCUGGCAUUGCUGUGAGCUGUGGUGUAUGUCACAGAUGAGGCUUGGAUCCUGCGUUGCUGUGGCUGGCAACUGCAGUUCUGAUUCAACUCCUAGCCUGGGAACUCUUGUUUGUGACACAUGCGGUCACAAACAAAAAAAAAAACAAAAACAUAGUUUGCUGGGCUCUCAUCUCCUAAGAAUUUUCACUUCUAGUAAGAUCACAGGUGAUGCUGGUCAUAACAGACAUCAAGAUGAACUUUUUUUGCUCAGGUCAUCAUAAGCCAAUCUC
Molecule: long non-coding RNA, 3029 nt
Filed under: Sus scrofa (pig)
Lineage: Eukaryota; Metazoa; Chordata; Mammalia; Artiodactyla; Suidae
Description: lncRNA (ENSSSCG00050051996.1)
Source: RNAcentral